Pogoniulus pusillus (Red-fronted tinkerbird) is the source of this 1382-nucleotide long non-coding RNA. RefSeq lists it as uncharacterized. Lineage: Eukaryota; Metazoa; Chordata; Aves; Piciformes; Lybiidae. The record is from RefSeq and is a predicted model, not a curated record. The transcript is spliced from 6 exons.
ACCUGAGAUGGGAGCAGACUCCAACAGAAGCCAGAUACUCUGAGAGAAAGAAAGAGAAAAUGCAGCAUGAGAUGAGAACUUAUGAGAUGCAGCUUCCUCAUCCCCUCAGCUUUGCCAAGAUAUUUGAGGGCGUCUGCCACCAAGCCUGUCACAGUCCUAAAAUCAGGGAAAUAAAAUUCCUGAGUGGACUUUCAAAGAUGCCAUGCCAUCAAAAAAGAAGAGCAGGGAGAGACUAAUGGGAUGAAAAGAAAAUCAUCCAACAGGGAAAGAAAGAACAACAGCCCCAUGGAACAGAGACACAAACCAGUAUGGAACCCAACCCCUGAUGGCAAUGGCAGCACCAUUAGCACCUCUGAUGCGGGGGACAGUGGGAAGUCCCACACUGGGCUCACCAGCAGGUGGGAACUGGAUUCAGGAGCAGAAUAGAGGAUGGAAGAGACAGAGUGCUCCUGGGACUGCAGUCAGUGGAGAAGAGUCUUGAUGCUGCUGCGAGGACACACAGCUUCCCUUGACCAAGAUUUUCCAGGAGUCUUUGGAGUUUCAGAGAUGCUGAACACAGAACAAGUCCUGAGGAGCAGGUUUGAGAGUGUAGAAGAGUUAUCAACCUGCUGCCUUUAAGAGCAGAUGAGUUGACUUAAGCGCAUCACAGCGCUGCUGCCAUUCAAGAUGAUGAUGCAUUUAAAAUGCAGAUUUUGGAACUUCUGGAACACCUCAUUCAGCCUCACAAUGAGCACGUCCCAUGUCUCCUGCAUAUGAACGUUUGUUGUUGUUCAGACUAGCAAGGGACAUGUAUUGCUGCAUGGAUUUUUUUUUUCUUUCCUUCUUGAAACCAAAUAACAUUUUAUAUUUUUACCAAAAUACCUGUGGAGCUGACAGAGCAUGAUGCAUUCAUUUUCCUUGAUUUUGUAGUGAGGGAAAAGGCUACCAUGAAUAAUUCAAAAAUAAUGCUGAGACUGUUAAGAUUUAGUACUGGAGAGGUCAUCACAGUUGGGAGAAUGAGCUAGGAGACUAUUACUAUUCCACGAUCUUUGAAUCUCAAGGUGACAUCAUUAUUAUUUCUCUAUAUCUAUAAUGUGGUGCUGCAACCAACUUAUUGCAGUGUUUCUCAUGUAGGGUAGAAAGAUCAAUUACAUACAGACCUCAAAAUGUGAACUAUAAGCAUAGUGUCCAAUAAAACUGUCAUUAACAGUCACCACAAUUUUAACUGUAUGCUUCCAGGUCAAGCUGCUUUAAAAAUGAUAACUGACAUUGAAAGGUUGAAUAAAGAGCACCCUGUUUCCAGCGGGUAUGAUUCUACACCCAAAUAAGUUCUCAUUAACAAACCCCUUAAUUCAGUUCACAAAAGAAUUCAGGGUUUGUCUUCUUGUUUCUGUCACUCGCAG